UACGGAGGGUGCAAGCGUUAUCCGGAAUCAUUGGGUUUAAAGGGUCCGUAGGCGGACAAAUAAGUCAGAGGUGAAAUCCCAUCGCUCAACGAUGGAACUGCCUUUGAUACUGUUUGUCUUGAGUCAUAUUGAAGUAGAUAGAAUGUGUAGUGUAGCGGUGAAAUGCAUAGAUAUUACACAGAAUACCGAUUGCGAAGCAGUCUACUAAGUAUGUACUGACGCUGAUGGACGAAAGCGUGGGGAGCGAACA
Molecule: ribosomal RNA, 250 nt
Filed under: uncultured bacterium
Lineage: Bacteria
Description: partial 16S ribosomal RNA
Rfam family: Bacterial small subunit ribosomal RNA
Source: RNAcentral